This 247-nucleotide ribosomal RNA is filed under the name uncultured Leptolyngbya sp. Its description in RNAcentral is "partial 16S ribosomal RNA". It matches the Rfam family "Bacterial small subunit ribosomal RNA", at positions 428 to 688 of the family's 1533-position model. Lineage: Bacteria; Bacillati; Cyanobacteriota; Cyanophyceae; Leptolyngbyales; Leptolyngbyaceae. The record is from RNAcentral.
AACCUCUUUUAUCAAGGAAGAAGCCAGUGACGGUACCUGAGGAAUCAGCAUCGGCUAACUCCGUGCCAGCAGCCGCGGUAAGACGGAGGAUGCAAGCGUUAUCCGGAAUUAUUGGGCGUAAAGCGUCCGCAGGUGGUUUUACAAGUCUGCUGUCAAAGCGCAGAGCUCAACUCCUGUAAAGGCAGUGGAAACUGUAAGUCUAGAGUAUGGUAGGGGUAGAGGGAAUUCCCGGUGUAGCGGUGAAAUG